Molecule: ribosomal RNA, 254 nt
Filed under: uncultured bacterium
Lineage: Bacteria
Description: partial 16S ribosomal RNA
Rfam family: Bacterial small subunit ribosomal RNA
Source: RNAcentral
UACGAAGGGGGCUAGCGUUGUUCGGAUUUACUGGGCGUAAAGCGCACGUAGGCGGAUCGUUAAGUCAGGGGUGAAAGCCCAGAGCUCAACUCUGGAACUGCCUUUGAAACUAGAGGACUUGGGUACGGGAGAGGUGAGUGGAAUUCCGAGUGUAGAGGUGAAAUUCGUAGAUAUCGAGAGGAACACCGGUGGCGAAGGCGGCCUUCUGGACAGUGACUGACGCUGAGACGCGAAAGCGUGGGGAGCGAACAGGA